GUGCUCGCUUCGGCAGCACACAUUCUAAAAUUGGAACGAUACAGAGAAGAUUAGCAUGGCCCUUGCACAGGGAUGACACGCAAAUCCAUGAAGCCUUCCAUAUUAAA
This 107-nucleotide small nuclear RNA is filed under the name Canis lupus familiaris (dog). Lineage: Eukaryota; Metazoa; Chordata; Mammalia; Carnivora; Canidae. The record is from RNAcentral.